UGGGGAAUUUUCCGCAAUGGGCGAAGGCCUGACGGAGCAAUACCGCGUGAGGGAGGAAGGCUUUUGGGUUGUAAACCUCUUUUCUUAGGGAAGAAGAAAGUGACGGUACCUAAGGAAUCAGCAUCGGCUAACUCCGUGCCAGCAGCCGCGGUAAUACGGAGGAUGCAAGCGUUAUCCGGAAUUAUUGGGCGUAAAGCGUCCGCAGGUGGCACUUCAAGUCUGCUGUCAAAGACCAGAGCUCAACUCUGGGCAGGCGGUGGAAACUGGGGAGCUAGAGUACGGUAGGGGUAGAGGGAAUUUCCAGUGUAGCGGUGAAAUGCGUAGAGAUUAGGAGGAACACCGGUGGCGAAGGCGACCACCUGGACGGGUACUGACGCUGAGGCGCGAAAGCGUGGGGAGCAAACAGGAUUAGAUACCCCUGUAGUCC
This 427-nucleotide ribosomal RNA is filed under the name uncultured prokaryote. RNAcentral describes it as "bacterial SSU rRNA". It matches the Rfam family "Bacterial small subunit ribosomal RNA", at positions 355 to 796 of the family's 1533-position model. The record is from RNAcentral.